GAUCAGUGGCUACAGGACGAACGCUGGCGGCGUGCCUAACACAUGCAAGUCGAACGAGGUCCAUCCUUCGGGAGAAGACCUAGUGGCGAACGGGUGAGUAACACGUGAGGAACCUGCCCGAAGGCCGGGAUAACCCUCCGAAAGGAGAGCUAAUACCGGAUACCCCCACCGAACCGCAUGGUUUGGUGAGGAAAUGGAUUCCGCUUCGGGAGGGCCUCGCGGCCUAUCAGCUAGUUGGUGGGGUAACGGCCCACCAAGGCAUCGACGGGUAGCUGGUCUGAGAGGACGAUCAGCCACACUGGGACUGAGACACGGCCCAGACUCCUACGGGAGGCAGCAGUGGGGAAUCUUGCGCAAUGGGCGAAAGCCUGACGCAGCAACGCCGCGUGGGGGAUGAAGGCUCUCGGGUUGUAAACCCCUUUCAGCAGGGACGAAUCAAGACGGUACCUGCAGAAGAAGCCCCGGCUAACUACGUG
RNAcentral lists this ribosomal RNA (476 nucleotides) under uncultured bacterium. Its description in RNAcentral is "bacterial SSU rRNA". It matches the Rfam family "Bacterial small subunit ribosomal RNA", at positions 1 to 507 of the family's 1533-position model. The record is from RNAcentral.